This 253-nucleotide ribosomal RNA is filed under the name uncultured bacterium. Its description in RNAcentral is "partial 16S ribosomal RNA". It matches the Rfam family "Bacterial small subunit ribosomal RNA", at positions 524 to 776 of the family's 1533-position model. The record is from RNAcentral.
UACGGAGGAUGCGAGCGUUCCCCGGAUUUACUGGGUGUAAAGGGCGUGUAGGCGGUCUCUCAAGUCCGAUGCUACAGACCGAAGCUCAACUUCGGGGGUGCGUUGGAUACUGUGAGGCUAGACGGUCGGAGAGGGUAGCGGAAUUUCCGGAGUAGCGGUGAAAUGCGCAGAUACCGGAAGGAACGCCAAUAGCGAAGGCAGCUACCUGGACGAUUGGUGACGCUGAGGUGCGAAAGCGUGGGGAGCAAACCGG